AGAGUUUGAUCCUGGCUCAGGAUGAACGCUGGCGGCGUGCCUAAUACAUGCAAGUCGAGCGAACCACUUCGGUGGUGAGCGGCGAACGGGUGAGUAACACGUAGGUGAUCUGCCCAUCAGACGGGGACAACGAUUGGAAACGAUCGCUAAUACCGGAUAGGACGAAAGUUUAAAGGUGCUUCUGGCACCGCUGAUGGAUGAGCCUGCGGCGCAUUAGCUAGUUGGUAGGGUAAAGGCCUACCAAGGCGACGAUGCGUAGCCGACCUGAGAGGGUGAACGGCCACACUGGGACUGAGACACGGCCCAGACUCCUACGGGAGGCAGCAGUAGGGAAUCUUCGGCAAUGGGCGAAAGCCUGACCGAGCAACGCCGCGUGAAUGAUGAAGGCCUUCGGGUUGUAAAAUUCUGUUAUAAGGGAAGAACGACUUUAGUAGGAAAUGGCUAAAGUGUGACGGUACCUUAUGAGAAAGCCACGGCUAACUACGUGCCAGCAGCCGCGGUAAUACGUAGGUGGCAAGCGUUAUCCGGAAUUAUUGGGCGUAAAGAGCGCGCAGGUGGUUGAUUAAGUCUGAUGUGAAAGCCCACGGCUUAACCGUGGAGGGUCAUUGGAAACUGGUCGACUUGAGUGCAGAAGAGGGAAGUGGAAUUCCAUGUGUAGCGGUGAAAUGCGUAGAGAUAUGGAGGAACACCAGUGGCGAAGGCGGCUUCCUGGUCUGUAACUGACACUGAGGCGCGAAAGCGUGGGGAGCAAACAGGAUUAGAUACCCUGGUAGUCCACGCCGUAAACGAUGAGUGCUAAGUGUUGGGGGUCGAACCUCAGUGCUGAAGUUAACGCAUUAAGCACUCCGCCUGGGGAGUACGGUCGCAAGACUGAAACUCAAAGGAAUUGACGGGGACCCGC
Molecule: ribosomal RNA, 901 nt
Filed under: uncultured bacterium
Lineage: Bacteria
Description: bacterial SSU rRNA
Rfam family: Bacterial small subunit ribosomal RNA
Source: RNAcentral